AUUCUUAAUCACUCUCUUAUUCUUAAUCUUUCUCUCUUAUUCUUAAUCUUUCUCUCUUCUUAAUCUCUCUCUCUCUCCUUUCUCCUUGCCUCGACAUUAUCUUCCUCCUGACUCACUUUCUUCGCUUGUUUUUCAUUCAACCUUUAAGAAAAUUUGCAUUGGGGACAUAUUUUAGGGUUGCGCAGUCAGUAGUCAUUUUUCAUGGCAUUUGGCUGUGAGUUAUGGUAAAUACCCUCCCCUAGUCAUUUUUCUGUUUAUUUUUUUGUUUCAGGCAAGUAAUGCUGUAGUUUUUUGGAAACUUGAAAAUUACUUGAAUAAUGAACUUUAUUUUUAUGUCCUGCUCUCUCCCUCUCUUCCCCUUGCUUAGCAACCGUAGGGUCCAAGCAGGAACAAGGUACUCCGGCUCUUCACAGUGAUGUGUGUUCAAUGAGGACAGUUCCUCUUUCUCUCCUCCUCCUCCUCAUCCCACUCUUGAACUUCCUCUCUAUCUAACAUCCCUCUAUUCAAGCUGACCUCCUGAGUAUCUACCAUGCCCACUGUAGAUGGCCUGCCUCACCCACUCAGUCCCUACUUUAAACUAUCCACACCUAAUAGGGAGGCCAAGUCUUCAUUUCAGACUCUAAAAUGACUGCAAUAGGGUAGACUUCAACACUACACACACUCCAACUACACACACUCCAACACAUCACCUGUUUUUUCUGGGGUGGCAUGAAUCUUUCUCUUCUUGGUCUCCUCUUUUCUCUCUGUCCACUCUCUCCUCUCAUUCCCCCUCUUCCAUCCCUCGCUCUUGACUAAGCUCCCUCUGAAACAGACUGACACUAAUCUUUCUCUUCUUGGUCUCCUCUUUUCUCCCUGUCCACUCUCUCCUCUCGUUCCCCCUCUUCCAUCCCUCGCUCCUGACUAAGCUCCCUCUGAAACAGACUGACACUAAUCUACCAUCAAAGCUCUCAUUCUUCAUUUCCCACCUUUAUGCACUCCAUCCUGUAGACUCCAUCUGUGUCGUCUCUCUCUCUUCCCUCUCUCUCUCUCUCUCUGUCUCUGUGAGUGUGAACAUAAUGUGCCAGCUGAGCCAAAGUGGACCAUCCAGACGUUGUUCUGUUGAAUUACUACGGAGAGGACCAGACUUGGAGUUGACUGGCUGUCAGAGUUGACUGCUUCUGAACACAACCAUGUUUUUGAGUUGACCUCAUUGGAUUUGAAAGUCAUUGUUUUCUAGAUGAAAAACAAACAAAAAAUUUGUAUCCAUUGUGGGACCAACUGUUAAACACAGUAACACCAAACGUUGAUACAACUUAAUUAAAAAAGUUAACCAGUGACGACACUGCCUAAACCAGGAUAUGCUGUGUGAGUGGAACCCUGGGAAUGAUGAACUAGAAUAUUGUGACUGUUCUGCUACGCCCUCUACUGGGAUCAUACUGGUUAGACUGGUCCAACUGUUCUGUAACACCUGACACUCUGGGAUUGGAGAAUAGACCAUGCUACUCUGUGGUCUUCAUCUGACCAUAUCUGGAAUUAACUGGACUGUGUCUGGUGGUUUACCUCUGUCUUAAAAGGCAAUCAAAUGGAAUUGUGGGAAACACACUGAGGGUACCGCCUCACUUCACCUCACACGCUCCGAACCACAUCGGCUGAUUGACAGAUGCUCCUCACCAACCAGGUGUGCAGGUACAGUAUUUAGACUGUCUGCUGAGCACUUAACCAGGCGAGGACCUCUACCAAUGAGAAGAGGCCGGUGAGCUGGUGUUUGUUUGAAUAGAGGUUUUUGAUUUAGUGUAGUAAAGAUUCUGCUUUAGGUGUUUCAGUUAAAUAUUGAUGUUUUGUAGAGGUUCUGUAAUGUUGGCAUCCAUUUUGAUUAUUUGAAACAUCCUGAAAAAAAUCUAAAAAUGUACAUGGCUGAACUUUUUUAUACAAAUGUUUACAGGUCUAGAUUUAGAUUGCUUUUGUUUAUAGUGCUAUCAAGAAUAACUAAAGCACUUUAGUACAGGUUACCCUGUAUUUUUCUUUCAGUUAUAAAACAUACAUUUUUAUCAUCUUUUCCUUAAAAAAAUAGCGUUAAAAAAGCCAUUAUAUUAUCAAAGCAAUUUAAAUGAAUUCAUUUUAUUUUGAUUGUUUCAUAUAUUUUAUCUGUUGGUUAGAUAUGACAUUUUUGAAUGUAUUACUUCAAUACAAUUUCAUGUUCCAAUCACAAAAGUAAUAUAUCACUAAAGUUAAUUUACAGUAGAAGUGUUACAAAUAUCACCAACCUAGCAAACAUGCAUGUUUUCUUUUCAAAAGUGAAACUGAAAUUAUUAACUGAAAUUAUUCUUAAUAAUUUAAUCCCACAAAAAAUAGUGUAUAUUUAAUUUAAUUCAUAAUUCUGAUUAGUUUCUUACCUUAAUCCAACAUCAUUAAUCAUUCUUAAAUACAGGCUUUUCUGGGCUGUAGUUUUUCCCACAUUCUAAUGUUGUCUUUGGUAACAGCAUUUAGAAAACAAUGUUUUCCUUGAGAAUAAAUAUGUUGACUAUUAGUUAUUCCUGUAAGUACUUACUCAGAGAGAUGAGUCUGUAGUAUUACUUUACACACACUUUUGGAUAUCAAUAUGCUUCAAUGACAGUUAAAUAUUUUGUUCUAGUCUACGCAGGUUAUUCAGUAAUAUAGGGGUUUGGAUGUCUGGAACCUUGUUGUAUAAAGCUGGUGCUCCCAGAUUGAGUUUUUUUUGUUUUCACAUUUUAGUGAAGUAUGAAGCAUCUUCUAUGAAGAGCGAACUGCAAACUGAGCCCUUUUAUACAAGGUGAGAUGACGAAAUAAAGAUGAUUGCAAUAAGACUGAAA
Molecule: long non-coding RNA, 2810 nt
Organism: Oncorhynchus kisutch (coho salmon)
Lineage: Eukaryota; Metazoa; Chordata; Actinopteri; Salmoniformes; Salmonidae
Exons: 2
Source: RefSeq, a predicted model, not a curated record